This 681-nucleotide ribosomal RNA is filed under the name Triticum aestivum (bread wheat). Its description in RNAcentral is "partial small subunit ribosomal RNA". The record is from RNAcentral. Lineage: Eukaryota; Viridiplantae; Streptophyta; Magnoliopsida; Poales; Poaceae.
AUGGACAUAUCUCAGGAGCAACAACAAGAUUUUGGUGUGCUACUAAAGCAGGGGGCUGAAGGAAGGGUAUUUGUUUCUACAUUUGUUGGACGAAAAUGCGUAAUCAAAGAGCGCUUUUCAAAGAAGUACCGUCACCCAUUGCUGGACUCAAAGCUGACUCUAAAACGCUUAAAUGCUGAAGCUAGAUGCAUGACAAAAGCGAGGCGGCUUGGUGUUCCUACACCAGUUCUGUAUGCUGUGGACCCUCUUCAACAUACAUUAACCUUUGAGUAUGUGGAUGGCUUGUGCGUCAAAGAUAUUCUUCUUGGAUUUGGGUCAAAUGGGAUAAAUGAAGAACGUCUUAAUGACAUUGCCACACAGAUAGGUAAUGCAGUUGGCAAACUACACGAUGGAGGUCUUGUCCAUGGUGAUUUGACAACUUCAAAUAUGAUGAUCAAGAACAGCACCAAUCAACUGGUUCUUAUUGAUUUUGGUCUGAGCUUUACAUCAACUAUUCCCGAGGACAAGGCAGUGGACCUAUAUGUUCUUGAGAGAGCCUUGAUUUCCAUGCAUUCUUCAUGUGGGGAUGUGAUGGAGAAGAUCCUUGCAGCGUACCGAAAAGCUUCAAGGCAGUGGUGUGCCACUACGAACAAGCUAGCUCAAGUCAGGCAGCGGGGCAGAAAACGAACAAUGGUUGGGUAA